RNAcentral lists this long non-coding RNA (2289 nucleotides) under Canis lupus familiaris (dog). Its description in RNAcentral is "lncRNA (ENSCAFG00040019178.1)". The record is from RNAcentral. Lineage: Eukaryota; Metazoa; Chordata; Mammalia; Carnivora; Canidae.
GACUUUUCCUCUGCUGUUGGCCUCGGUGAAUUAUUCUGAUAAUCGUUCAUUACCUGGAAUUGCAGAAAAUGAGAAAAUGCUGGCAAGUGAGAUGAAAAGAACACAUUUCCAAGCACUCAGAGAUGAUGACGGAGGCUCCUUACGUACAUCCUUCCCGAUCUGUUGUGUGUGUGUGUGUGUGUCUCUCAUGGAUAAAUAAAUAAAAAUCUUAAAACAAAACAAAACAAAGAAAACAUUAGGACUCUUGAUUAGGCUAGAAUUGGAAAAAUGUCUGAUAUCUUUUAAUAUAAUUAAAGUUCUAUAAUAAAUCAUCCUAGGGUUUAUGAAGCAUAUCACACCCCUUUGAAAUGGUUUCAAAGUAAUAUUGGCUGGUACUAGAAGUUUAAAUUCCUGUGGAUUAGGUCCAAAAUUAUCAUAAGGUUGGAAUUCUUCUUCUGGAAUUCACUAUCAAAAUUCCCAGAAGUUCAUCCCAUUCUCUGAACUUACUUUUGCCUUCCUGUUCAAAUAAAAACCUACAGGCCACUCUAACUGUGGCUGUUUUCUCCUCCUUACCCCUUGGUCCCUAGACUUUGAAUGCUGCCAGAGGACAACUGUGGCAAAAGCUCUCGGGAUACCUGGGUGGCUCAGCAGUUGAGUGUCUGGCUUUGGCUCAGGAUAUGAUCCUGGAGUUCCAGGAUCGAGUCCCGCAUCAGGCUCCUGCAUGGAGACUGCUUCUCUUCCCUUUGCCUGUCUCUGCCUUUCUCUGUGUCUUAAAAGUAUCCCAGCUUUGACUUUUUCCGAGUUCCAAGUAAUUCCUUAGCCUACAUCUCUAGUUAAAUUAGAAUUUCAAAUUUAGCUAUGCCAAAAUAGAAUAUUUGAUUCACAUAACCACAUCUGCUUCUCCCCUUAGUCUUUUUCGUCUCUGUAAAUGACUCUACCCCCAGCUUAGCCUCAAGUCAAAAAUCUAGAAGUCAUCUUGUCUUUUCAAUAUCCACAUCAAAACCUUCAGCAAGUCCUAUAGGGCCAGCAUCCAUAAUCCAUUGAUAGUACUACAUUCUUGCUAAAAUCUCACUGUCAAAAUUUAUUAUCUCUCCCUGCGCAUACUCUCAAAGUCCUUGUUCCAUUCUCACUUAUGGUCUCCACUUUAUUAAAUCCAAUCCUGGUGUGGUUAAAAGAUAAUUGGAGUCAGAGUAAUAGAAGGAAUGGAAUGACAGUCAGUGAAUGGAAUUAAGUUUGGCAAUGACAAAAUUAUAAAACUAUGGGAAUGAGUAGUUCCAAAGGAGUGGAGGACAAGAUCACUGGAUGUGAGUUCAAGUAACUGAAAGGCCAGGGUGUUGGAAGGAUCAUUUACAUGUAAAUUUCAAGCCAAUAAUUUUUUUUUUUUAGAUUUUAUUUUUUAUUUAUUCAUGAGAGACAGAGAGAGAGAGGCAGAGAGACAUAGGCAGAGGGAGGAAGCAGAAGCCCAAUGGGGAACUUGUUCCCAGGACUCCAGGAUCACACCCUGAGCCGAAGGGAGAUGCUCAACCGCUGAGCCACCCAGGUGUCCCUCAAGCCAAGAGUUAAGAUAGUUAGUAGAGUUGGGUGAGGUAAAAUUUUUAAGAUAUAAGGGGAGUGACUCUAGGGGCCAAAAAUUGUCAAUGCAAUAUGGGGUAGUAGAUAAUAUGGUCUAAUAACAAGAGAGUAAAAGCCUUAUGUUUUUAAGAAUUCAGGAAACAGAAAUAUCUGGAAACAGCAAUGAGGAUCAUCCAUCUUACCUCCAGGAUUUACUGUUUACAUUGUUUUAAAAAAAAGUGUAAAUAAUAUCUGUGUUCAAAAAUACAAUCAGGGCAGCCCUGGUGGCCUAGUGGUUUAGCGCUGCCUUCAGCCCAGGGUGUGAUCCUGGAGACCGGGGAUCGAGUUCCACAUCAGGCUCCCUGCAUGGAGCCUGCUUCUCCCUCUGCCUCUCUCUCUUUCUCUCUGUGUCUGUUGUCUCUGUCAUAAAUAAAUAAAAAAUCUUUAAAAAAAAAUAGAAUCAUGUAAAAAAAAUAUAAUCAUGUUAGACUAUUUUUAAAAAUACAAGUGUCCUCGGGUGCCUGGGUGGCUUAGUCAGUUAAGCAUCUGCCUUUGGCUCAGGUCAUGAUCCCAGGGUCCUGGGAUCAAGCCCCAUGGCAGGCUCCUUGUUCAGCAUGGAGUGUGCUUCUCCCUCUCCCUCUGCUCUUCCCCUUGCUCAAAUAAAUAAAAAAUAAAAAAUCUUAAAAAAAAAAAAUACAGUGCUCUUGGGGCACCUGGGUGGCUCAGUUAAGCUUCUGCUUCUGACUCCUAAUUUUGGCU